UACGUAGGUGGCAAGCGUUAUCCGGAUUUAUUGGGCGUAAAGAGCGUGUAGGCGGUAAAUUAAGUCUGAUGUGAAAGCUAGUGGCUCAACCACAAGAUUGCAUUGGAAACUGAUUAACUAGAAUACUGGAGAGGCAAGUGGAAUUUCAUGUGUAGCGGUGGAAUGCGUAGAUAUAUGAAGGAACACCAAUGGCGAAGGCAGCUUGCUGGACAGAGAUUGACGCUGAGACGCGAAAGCGUGGGUAGCAAACAGG
This 253-nucleotide ribosomal RNA is filed under the name uncultured bacterium. Its description in RNAcentral is "partial 16S ribosomal RNA". It matches the Rfam family "Bacterial small subunit ribosomal RNA", at positions 524 to 776 of the family's 1533-position model. The record is from RNAcentral.